RNAcentral lists this long non-coding RNA (235 nucleotides) under Vigna radiata. RNAcentral's name for it is "long non-coding RNA (VRAD_LNC005247)". The record is from RNAcentral. Lineage: Eukaryota; Viridiplantae; Streptophyta; Magnoliopsida; Fabales; Fabaceae.
GCGAAGCCCGAGCAUCCAGGAGCAAAAACUGCGUGAGCAAUAUCGGCGCUGGUCACCCGAGCGGUGGCCCCCCACGCCCAGGCGACGGACCUUCGAACCUUGGGCGUCCAAAUCUGACGCCCAAGCCUUAUAUGAGCUUCAAUUCUCGCCCAGGCGAGCUCCCUAUGAUGCUUGGGCGUGAUUUCACUUGGAUUGGGCCCUAUUUCUGCUCUGUUUUGAUUCUUUUGGACCGGGC